RNAcentral lists this ribosomal RNA (605 nucleotides) under Laccaria proxima. Its description in RNAcentral is "eukaryotic LSU rRNA". The stretch from base 239 to 392 matches the Rfam family "5.8S ribosomal RNA". Lineage: Eukaryota; Fungi; Basidiomycota; Agaricomycetes; Agaricales; Hydnangiaceae. The record is from RNAcentral.
GAUCAUUAUUGAAUUAAAGUUGAGGGUUGUGCUGGCUUCUAGGAGCAUGUGCACGCUUUCUUCCUUAUUUUACCACCUGUGCACCUUUUGUAGACCUGGAUAACUCUCAAGCUUCACGGCUUGGUCAGAGAAAUGUCGUCUCGAUGACUUUUCUUACACUUCCAGGUUUAUGUUUUUAUACACUCAUCAGUAUGUCAUAGAAUGUCUAUUAAAUGGCUUUUAGCCUUUAAAUUUAUACAACUUUCAACAACGGAUCUCUUGGCUCUCGCAUCGAUGAAGAACGCAGCGAAAUGCGAUAAGUAAUGUGAAUUGCAGAAUUCAGUGAAUCAUCGAAUCUUUGAACGCACCUUGCGCUCCUUGGUAUUCCGAGGAGCAUGCCUGUUUGAGUGUCAUUAAAUUCUCAACCUCUGAAUCUUUUAUUAGAUGCUUAGGCUUGGACUUGGGGGCUGAGGGCUUCGAAAGAGGUCGUCUCUCCUUAAAUGCAUUAGCGGAACCCUUGCGGAACGUCCUUUGGUGUGAUAAUUAUCUACGCCGUGAGGAGGGGAGGCAAACUUUAUGGGGGUCAGCUUCUAACCGUCUCUUUAUUGAGACAAUCUUUGACAUUU